GCGCAGUCCAGAGCUGAGCGAAGGACUGAGAAAUAUCGAGAACAGGCGAGUGGAGGGAGCCGGGUAUUAGAGGCAGAGGAUUGACGGACGGGAAUCUCAAACCAAACAUCACAUCAAGAUCUGACAGAGCCAUUUAAUUCGUCAGGACCUGAAUAUCAUCAAACUUUUAAUGCGGAAGGGUAUUAGAAGGAGGGGAUUUGCAGUCGGGAAAUUCAAACCAAGCAUCACAUCAGAAUCUGACGGAGUCGCCCAAUUUAUCGUAACCUAAAUAUCAUUGAAUUUUGAACAUGGAAGGAAAAAGCACCGUUCACAGUGAGGAGAAACCGUACACGUGUUCUGUGUGUGGACGAGGCUUCAGCCAAUCAUCUGACGUGUCAGAACAUAAAUGCCGUCACAACA
This is a long non-coding RNA of Carcharodon carcharias (great white shark), 399 nucleotides long. RefSeq lists it as uncharacterized. Lineage: Eukaryota; Metazoa; Chordata; Chondrichthyes; Lamniformes; Lamnidae. The transcript is spliced from 3 exons. The record is from RefSeq and is a predicted model, not a curated record.